ACGCACGCUGGCGGCGUGCCUCAUACAUGCAAGUAGGACGCACAGUCUAUACCGUAGCUUGCUACACCAUAGGCUGUGAGUUGCGAACGGGUGAGUAACGCGUAGGUAACCUGCCUAUUAGAGGGGGAUAACUAUUGGAAACGAUAGCUAAUACCGCAUAACAGUAUGUAACACAUGUUAGAUGCUUGAAAGAUGCAAUUGCAUCGCUAGUAGAUGGACCUGCGUUGUAUUAGCUAGUAGGUAGGGUAAUGGCCUACCUAGGCGACGAUACAUAGCCGACCUGAGAGGGUGAUCGGCCACACUGGGACUGAGACACGGCCUAGACUCCUACGGGAGGCAGCAGUAGGGAAUCUUCGGCAAUGGGGGGAACCCUGACCGAGCAACGCCGCGUGAGUGAAGAAGGUUUUCGGAUCGUAAAGCUCUGUUGUUAAGGAAGAACGAGUGUGAGAAUGGAAAGUUCAUACUGUGACGGUACUUAACCAGAAAGGGACGGCUAACUACGUG
Molecule: ribosomal RNA, 504 nt
Filed under: uncultured bacterium
Lineage: Bacteria
Description: partial 16S ribosomal RNA
Rfam family: Bacterial small subunit ribosomal RNA
Source: RNAcentral